Molecule: ribosomal RNA, 253 nt
Filed under: uncultured Oscillospira sp.
Lineage: Bacteria; Bacillati; Bacillota; Clostridia; Eubacteriales; Oscillospiraceae
Description: partial 16S ribosomal RNA
Rfam family: Bacterial small subunit ribosomal RNA
Source: RNAcentral
UACGUAGGUGGCAAGCGUUAUCCGGAUUUACUGGGUGUAAAGGGCGUGUAGGCGGGGACGCAAGUCAGAUGUGAAAACCACGGGCUCAACCUGUGGCCUGCAUUUGAAACUGUGUUUCUUGAGUACUGGAGAGGCAGACGGAAUUCCUAGUGUAGCGGUGAAAUGCAUAGAUAUCGCGCAGAACCCCGAUUGCGAAGGCAGCGUACCGGCUCCACACUGACGCUGAGGCACGAAAGCGUGGGUAUCGAACAGG